Molecule: long non-coding RNA, 1058 nt
Organism: Eubalaena glacialis (North Atlantic right whale)
Lineage: Eukaryota; Metazoa; Chordata; Mammalia; Artiodactyla; Balaenidae
Exons: 5
Source: RefSeq, a predicted model, not a curated record
UUGCCAAGGACCAGAAUCCUGCCAACAACCUGUGAAGAGCUUGGAGUCAGGUCUCAGCCCAAUUGAACUGCAGAUUCACUGACAUCGUGAGAGCCCCUGGGCUGGAGAACUCAGCUAAGCCAUGCCUGGAUUCCUGAACCACAAAAUGGUGACAUAGUCUGCCUGAAGUCUGGCCUGGAUUUGUGCGGGUUCUUUCUAUCUCAAUAUUUCCACCAUCAUCAACCGGUGAAAGAGUGAGAAAAAAUAGAUCAGAGAUUGCAAAAAAAUGAAAAAAGAAUUGCAGCAUAAAAAAUUCCUUUAGCACAUCUCAGCUGAGUGGAGAUUGAGGCUGUAACAGCCUGGGUCCACUGAGGAGAGGACAACCACACAGUAAGUUGAACCGUACUCUGGACAUAUCAGCAUUGGAGCCAUAUCUGCACCUGAAGUUGCUGGGGAAGGGAAAAUUGGAGCGGAGAGAAGAAGAGAUACCCCCAGGGCAGCACCCAAGGGUUUGUCCAAAAUGAGGCCAACACAUCACUGGGAAGAUUGUGUGCGCUGCUGGCCAAGAGGUGACAGGGCUCAGCAACCGUUCAAACCCAGUAACUCGGGGGAAAAGCAUUCACACAAUUAGCCCGAGUGUGCAGUGUGAGAAUGGAUUUGACAGUAUGUGAAAGGACUUCCCUGGUGGUGCAGUUGUUGAGAAUCCGCCUGCCAAUGCAGGGGACGCGAGUUCGAGCCCUGGUCCGGGAAGAUCCCACAUGCUGCGGAGCAACUAAGCCCGUGCACCACAACUACUGAGUCUGCGCUCUAGAGCCUGCGAGCCACAACUACUGAACCCACGUGCCACAACUACUGAAGCCCGUGCACCUAGAGCCUGUGCUCCGCAACAAGAGAAGCCACCGCAAUGAGAAGCCUGCGCACCGCAACGAAGAGUAGCCACUGCUCGCCACAACUAGAGAAACCCCAUGCGCAGCGACGAAGACCCAACGCAGCCAAUAAAUAAAUAAAUAAAUUUAUUUUAAAAAAAAUUCAAAAGAAUUAGUCAUAGUAAAUUUACAAUGAUUGUUCAAAUCAUUUAA